GAAAUCAGUUCAGCACUAAGUCACUUUGUCUAUAUGGCAAAUGUGAGAUGCAGUGUAUGGAACGUCAAUAUUCUAGUAUGAGAAAUUAACGAUUUAAGUCCUUCUUAAAUGAGGCCAUUUACCCAUAGAGGGUGCCAGGCCCGUAUAACGUUAAUGAUUAUUAGAUGAUGUUUCCAAAGAGUCGUGUUGCUUGAUAGUGCAGCACUAAGUGGGUGGUAAACUCCAUCUAAAACUAAAUAUAACCAUGAGACCGAUAGUAAACAAGUACCGUGAGGGAAAGUUGAAAAGAACUCUGAAUAGAGAGUUAAAUAGUACGUGAAACUGCUUAGAGGUUAAGCCCGAUGAACCUGAAUAUCCGUUAUGGAAAAUUCAUCAUUAGAAUUGUAAUAUUUAAUCAAUAUUAUAACGAUAGUGUGCAUUUUUUCCAUAUAAGGACAUUGUAAUCUAUUAGCAUGUAUGGAAUUUAUCAAACAAUUUUGAUAAGAGUUUAUUUAAAUUAGAGUGCUUGCAUUUUAACAUAAAAUAAAUUUCAAAAAUUUGAUAAAGUGCUGAUAGAUUAUAUGAGUACAGUGCGUUAAUUUUUCGGAAUUAUAUAAUGGCAUGAUUAUCAUUGAUUUUUAUGUUUAUUAUAAGCACUUGUAUGAUUAACAAUGCGAAAGA
Molecule: ribosomal RNA, 660 nt
Filed under: Drosophila albomicans
Lineage: Eukaryota; Metazoa; Arthropoda; Insecta; Diptera; Drosophilidae
Also listed under: 1 other name
Description: eukaryotic LSU rRNA
Rfam family: Eukaryotic large subunit ribosomal RNA
Source: RNAcentral